CCUACGGGAGGCUGCGGUGAGGAAUAUUGGUCAAUGGACGCAAGUCUGAACCAGCCAUGCCGCGUGCAGGAAGACGGCUCUAUGAGUUGUAAACUGCUUUUGUACGAGGGUAAACGCAGAUACGCGUAUCUGUCUGAAAGUAUCGUACGAAUAAGGAUCGGCUAACUCCGUGCCAGCAGCCGCGGUAAUACGGAGGAUUCAAGCGUUAUCCGGAUUUAUUGGGUUUAAAGGGUGCGUAGGCGGUCGGAUAAGUUAGAGGUGAAAUCCCGAGGCUCAACUUCGGAAUUGCCUCUGAUACUGUUCGGCUAGAGAGUAGUUGCGGUAGGCGGAAUGUAUGGUGUAGCAGUGAAAUGCUUAGAGAUCAUACAGAACACCGAUUGCGAAGGCAGCUUACCAAGCUACUUCUGACGUUGAGGCACGAAAGCGUGGGGAGCAAACAGGAUUAGAUACCCUGGUAGUC
This 460-nucleotide ribosomal RNA is filed under the name uncultured bacterium. RNAcentral describes it as "partial 16S ribosomal RNA". It matches the Rfam family "Bacterial small subunit ribosomal RNA", at positions 338 to 795 of the family's 1533-position model. The record is from RNAcentral.